GACGAACGCUGGCGGCGCGCUUAACACAUGCAAGUCGAGCGAAGCGGCGGACGGGUGAGUAACACGUGAGUAACAUGCCUUAGACAUUGGGAUAGCCUCGGGAAACCGGGAUUAAUACCAAAUGGUCUAAGAUGGACUCGCGUCCCAUUAGCUAGUUGGUGAGGUAACGGCCCACCAAGGGGAGUAUGGGUAGCCGGCCUGAGAGGGUGAACGGCAACAUUGGAACUGAGAAACGGUCCAAACUCUACUGGAGGAAGUAGUGGGGAAUAUUGCACAAUGGAGGGAACUCUGAUGCAGCGACGCCGCGUGAACGAAGAAGGCUUUCGAGUCGUAAAGUUGUUUUAUAUGGGAAGCGGUACCAUAAGAAAAAGCCCCGGCUAACUACGUGCCAGCCGCCGCGGUAAUAC
RNAcentral lists this ribosomal RNA (407 nucleotides) under uncultured bacterium. RNAcentral describes it as "partial 16S ribosomal RNA". It matches the Rfam family "Bacterial small subunit ribosomal RNA", at positions 28 to 526 of the family's 1533-position model. The record is from RNAcentral.